This 462-nucleotide ribosomal RNA is filed under the name uncultured bacterium. RNAcentral's name for it is "partial 16S ribosomal RNA". It matches the Rfam family "Bacterial small subunit ribosomal RNA", at positions 28 to 507 of the family's 1533-position model. The record is from RNAcentral.
GACGAACGCUGGCGGCGUGCUUAACACAUGCAAGUCGAACGGAAAGGCCCUUCGGGGUACUCGAGUGGCGCACGGGUGAGUAACACGUGGGUGAUCUGCCCUGCACUUUGGGAUAAGCCUGGGAAACUGGGUCUAAUACCGAAUAGGACCACGCGCUUCAUGGUGUGUGGUGGAAAGCUUUUGCGGUGUGGGAUGGGCCCGCGGCCUAUCAGCUUGUUGGUGGGGUAAUGGCCUACCAAGGCGACGACGGGUAGCCGGCCUGAGAGGGUGACCGGCCACACUGGGACUGAGAUACGGCCCAGACUCCUACGGGGGGCAGCAGUGGGGAAUAUUGCACAAUGGGCGCAAGCCUGAUGCAGCGACGCCGCGUGAGGGAUGACGGCCUUCGGGUUGUAAACCUCUUUCAAUAGGGACGAAGCGCAAGUGACGGUACCUAUAGAAGAAGCACCGGCCAACUACGUG